This 4907-nucleotide long non-coding RNA is filed under the name Sus scrofa (pig). RNAcentral's name for it is "lncRNA (ENSSSCG00000043328.1)". Lineage: Eukaryota; Metazoa; Chordata; Mammalia; Artiodactyla; Suidae. The record is from RNAcentral.
AGAGGUUCUUAUAUCUGAGUAUAUAAUGGAAUCACCAAAGUGACUUUAAAAAUGAUCAGUGAGGAAGCCCCACUCCCCAGAGAUCUGACCUCAUUAUCCUGGGGUGGCAAGAUAGAGGUACAGCCUUCUGUGUGUUUGUUUGUUUGUUUGCUUGCUUGCUUGUUUGUUUUUAUGGCCCCACUUGCAGCAUAAGGAAGUUCCAGGCUAGGGGUUGAAUUGGGCCUGCAGCAGCAGGCCUGCACCAUAGCCAUAACAAUGCCAGAUCCGAGCCACGUCUGUGACCUAUACCACAUCUUGUAGCAACACCGGAUCCUUAACCCACUGAGACAGGCCAGGGAUCAAACCCACAUCUUCGCAGAGGCAAUGUUGGGUCCUUAACCCACUGAGCCACAUGGGAACUCCCUGUGUGCGUAGUUUUAAGUCUGCUAGUGAUUCCACUGUGACACCAAGGUGAAGAGUUGCUGCUACUCUAGAGGAAACUAGAAUCAGCUCGGGAGCACAAGGCAGUGCUAAAGGCCUGGCUGGGGAAGUGGAAAAGGAGCCAGGGAAAAGACUGGGAAAUGUAGUUUUAGGAAACAGGGGACAUUAGGAUUAGAGAGAGCGUAUUCCAUAAUAAACCAGGCAAAGAUUUUUUCCUAAGAAAUAAUUAGCUGCAGAGAGCUGGGUUAGAAAGCAGAACAGAUAUGAAAAUAGCUGCAGUCUGUCCAGACAUUGAAGUUCCCUGGUGGCCUAGUAGUUAAGAAUCUGGCAUUGUCACUGCUGCAGCGUGGGUUCAAUCCCUGGCCCAGGAACUUCUGCACACCAUGGGUGCAGCCAAAAAUAAAAUAAAAUAAAAUAAAAGCCACUAGAAGCAGUCUUCUCCCUCCUGGGGCCUGAGGACUUUUGAACAUGGAUUUGUCCUGUGCUGUGUAGGAAUGCAUCCCCAGGUAUGAACAACUGUAGACCUGGUUGCCAAGAAUUGCCCAGAGGCCACAGCCUAAUUUCUUUCCAUAGUUUUUCUGAUAGACCAGUGUCACCCUGUGAAUGUCACUUCCCAUUCUGAGUUGGAUGUAAGUAGAAGUCCACUUCUAUACUGAGGAGCGGAUCAAGAUGCUUCCAGUAGUCUCCAAGCAGGGGCGCUGUUCUAAUUAAGAGAUCAUGUAGGCGGCCUGGAAGUGUUACAGUUGGCCCCAAGCCUUCUGGAGUUUGAUUGCAGUUUCAGGAUUCUGUUGUUGAAGGAACAAGCCACUAAAUGUUCCUUCUGGGGAAAAAAAAUUUUUUAAGAGGUAAUUUUGUAUGAAAAGAAUGUGGUGUGUUGUUCACCAGGGUUUUCUGGCAAAUGAGAACAGAGAGAAAGAGAAUAGUAAGGGCAGAAGGUGGGCAAGAGAGAAAGCCUACACCUACAUGAAUAGAUCAGCAAGCACAGGGCCAUACAUUCUUUUUUUUCCCCUCUUUUGGCUACCCCAAGGCACAUGGAGUUCCCAGGCCACGCAUCAGAUCUGAGCCAAAGCUGUAACCUAUGCCGCAGCUGUGGCAACAUCAGCUCCUUAACCCACUGUGCCAGACCAGGGAAUGAACCUGAGACCCAGUGCUGCAGAGACACCUCUGAUCCCCUUGUACUACACCGGGAACUCCAGGGACCAUACACUGUAAUUUUUGUACCUCUUUUGAAAAUACUGGUCCGGUUGGCUGUGGCAUACCUCAGAAACAUAAGGGUCUUCAGCUAAUUACCAGCUUUGCAUAUUACAACCUGAUUCAAGACCUUGAUCUAGACCAGGAGGACCUUGUGUCCCCCAUUGCCCUUUCAUGCUGAGCCUCUGAUAAAUGCCAGAGCCUUAGGAACUGCCCCCUGGUACAUUCUGCUCCUGACAGCUCUCAGGUUAGUCAUGAGCCCAUGCUUGGGACUGACGUGGGUGCCCAUGUCCUUGGCUUCUCUGCCUCAGUUUAUGAGGCUGACACCUGGGUAGGGGAGUUUGUCAGAGGUGACCAGAUAUAAGAUGUCAUGUGAACCCAGAAGUAUGGCUUUGCUUGGAUCUUAGGAUACGCAUGGCUCCCAAGAACAGGCCUCUUUGUAGAAAUAUGCUGGUGAGCUUUGUGGGUGACUCAUACAGCUUAGGCGCCCCGUUCCCUCAGAAAUCCUAGAAUGCAUCCCUCUACCAUGUUCCUGGAGGCUGCAAAUGAUUAUUGUACUAGUUGUUUCAUAAGCAGUAGUAUAAACUUAAAUACCAAACCUCUUCAUUUUUCCUUUCUUCCUGUCUUCUUUGGUCUCUCUCUCUUUCCUUCUUUCCCUGCCCCCUCCCUCCUUUCCCUUCCCUCCCGUCCUUCUGUCCUUCCUUUCUUCCCUCCUUCCCUCCCUCUGUCCUUCUCUCUUUCCUUCCAUCCUUCCUUCCAUUCUUCCUUCCUUCCCUUUCUUCUUCACCCUCCCUCCCUCUCUCCUUCCUUCCCUCCUUCCCUCCCUCUCUCCUUCCUUCCAUUCUACCUUCCUUCCCUCCCUCCAUCUCUCCUUCCCUCCCUCCUUCCUUCCUUCCUGUUUACUAGGUAUUUACUAUACGUCAGCUUUGGCUUAGGCACUGUGGAUAAAGUGUAAGCUGCAAAGGACAUAGACAUGUUCUUAUGGAGUUUGCAGACCAGGGAGAACAGGGUGGCUGGCAAGGAGACAGAAGUGAAUCAAAUAAUGUCCUAAUGAAGGUAUAAUUAUAAACUCAUGCUAGUUCUCCUAAAGAAACAAAUACUUGUCCAUGAGGGUAUAUUAAAGAGCAGUGACUGGGGAAUCUGAAAAGGCUUCUUGGAUGAAGUUAUUCGGAAGCUGAGAUGUGAUGGGUGGAAAGAAUCCAAAAAGAGGAGGCAGCUUGUGUAAAGGCCCUUCAGUAAAAGGAAUCAUAAAGAACCUGGGAAGAGGAGCAUGGGGCUAGCAGGGAGUGAGGGGAGAAAGAAGGGUUGAGGCGGGAGAGAUGGGUGAGGUCGGAUCAUGUAGGGACUUGAGGGCUGCGUUAAAAUCUGUGAGAAGAUAUUGACUGGUUUUAAGUGGAGGUGAGUGACAGAGUUUUGAUUUGAAAAAAAAAUUACUCUGAUUGCUGUCUAGGGACACAUUGGGGAGAAGGAUGAAACAAAAGUGAGAAGACCAGUGAAAAGCUUAUUGUUGAAAUCUAGGCAAGAGAGGACAGUGGGUAAGAUUAACCAUGUUAGUGGGGAAAAUAUAGAUGCAGUUAAUUCCCAAGACGUCUAGCUUUACCAUGUAUAGUGUUGAUUGGAUUUGAGAUUGAGGAAGAAGGAGAAGUCAGGCAUGCCCCCGCUAGCCUUCUGUCCUGCAAAACUCCAAGAGGAGGACAAGGUUUGUUGUUGUUUGGCAUGAGUGUACAGUGCACACCAUGAGUUAAUUUUGACUGUCUUAAGUCUGAAUAUUUUUGGAAAACUUUAGAACAGAUGUUCACCAAGUACAGCCUCAAAGCUGACCUGUGAAAUUCCUUCCUGAUACACUCACAUACAAGUCUCCUAGAAGUAGCUGUCCAUCGCCCCCUGGAGGAACUUUCCACUUUGUAGUUUAUCUCCACUGAUGAUAGAGCCUUACCUGGAAGCAUGGUCCACCAUCCCGUGAGUUUAAUUUAUCCCUAGAACCAGGGGAUGUUGUGCUUCUGUCUCCAAACCCACAUGUAUAUCUGUACCCAGUUUAUCCUACCAGGGGCUGCUAUGGUUUUACGAGUCAUUUGGGGCAGUGGGAGAAAUCCUGAGUGGAUGAAAUUGAUUCCCAGUUGGACUCAGUCAUCACUGGCUGUGUGACUUGGCCAUUGCGAUUUCGCUAGAUCAAUAUUUCCUCCUGUGCGAGAGAAGCAGUUGAGCUAGACAGUCUGUAAGAGUCCUUCUGACUCUAAAAUCUCAUUGAUUCUAAUUUCUAAUCUCAAUCUGUACCAAUCAAGUCCCUUGGGGAAUGGAGAUAAAUGUUUCUAGGUAUAGGGAUUAAUCUUUGGCCUUUUCAGAAUCUGUCAUGUUUGGUUUUCCCAAAGGGACUUUAAUUAUCCAUCUUUCAUUUGUCAGCCUUAACCAGGUUACUUAUCAUUUCUAGCAACUUUUAAAUAGGGAGGGAGAAAUAUUUUUCUUAAAUGCCAGCUUUGACUCAUGGGCCAGGGUUCCCUGUUGAGGAUUUUGAUGCAGCAUCUUGGCUGAAAGGAGAAAGUUCCAUAAUUGACUGGUGAUGUCUGUCAUUGAUGUCUGAAGGGAAGUGGUGGCAUCUGAAAUGUCAUGUCUCCUCCCCACAGUUCUAAGAUCUGGUUCCUCUAUUUGCCCUGCCAAUGCAUGAGCACUCUCUGGUGGUUAAAAAAGUAAUUGCAGGAUUAUACUUUCCCAAAUUUAUUCUAGAACUGAAAUCUUGUAUUGUUUUAUUGUGUUGAAUUCUAAUGUCAUUUCCAACAAUUUGCUGGGAUAGUGAGGGGGGUGGCUAUAUGUCUAGGUCACUUUGUUUACUGGUGAACACAGUUUUGCACUUCCUGUGGAAAAUAUACUCUCCUUUUCUGUUUUCAAAAGGAAAACCUAAUGAAAUAAAUCUUUCUUUGUGGGUUGAAAAUCAUGUAGGAUCUCAGGGUUAGUCUUCCAAACUAGUACUUCUCACUUUAAUGUACAUAUUUAUCAAAUGGGAUCUUGUUAAAAUCCAGAUUCGUGGAAUCUAAUCCCAGAGAUUCUGAUUCAGUAGGUAUGGAUAGGUAUUCUGACAAGUCCUUUGUCUGGUACCACACUUAGAAUAGCUAAUGUCUCAGGAGUUGCUGCUGUGGUAUAGAGAGUUAAGGAUCCAGCGUUAUCUCUGCAACAGCUCAGGUUCAAUCCCCAGCCUGGUGCAGUGGGUUAAGGAUCCAGCAUUGCUACAGAUAUGGAAUAGGUUGCAGCUCUAACUCAUAUUUAAUCCCUGGCCGGGGGAACUUCCAUAUGCCAUGGGUGUG